Gasterosteus aculeatus aculeatus (three-spined stickleback) is the source of this 242-nucleotide non-coding RNA. Lineage: Eukaryota; Metazoa; Chordata; Actinopteri; Perciformes; Gasterosteidae. The record is from RefSeq and is a predicted model, not a curated record.
UGCUGAGGCGUCUGAGGCUUUGGUAUUUGCCAUGGCUGCUGAGGCGUCUGUGGGUUUGGUUUUUGCGGUGGCUGUUGUGGCUGCUGAGGCUGCUGAGGCGUCUGAGGCUUUGUUAUUUGCCAUGGCUGCUGAGGCGUCUGUGGGUUUGGUUUUUGCGGUGGCUGCUGUGGCUGUUGUGGCUGCUGAGGCUGCUGAGGCUUCUGAGGAUUUGUUAUCUUCCAUGGCUGCUGAGGCUGCUGUGG